UAUAUAUAUUGUUAUGUGCAGCAAAAUAGAAAAAGAUAACAAAGAAAUAUGAUAAAGAACCAGAACAGAAAGGGAGAGAUAGAAUGAAAGGAAGGAGAGCGAGGGAAAGACAGAAGAAUCCUGAGGUGUGAUAAGCGCCUGCCCACUUUCACUCAUUUACUUUAAAAUCUCACGCAUCUAUCUAAUCUUUUUAAAUUAAUUUUGACAACCUCCCUUUGCCCCCUCAUGUUGUAUACGAUAUAUUAUAUAAUAGAAGAGUUGACCUUGCCUACAGAGUAAUCAGAUCCCAUCCAGCCCCUAUAGUUGGCUCAUAAUAAUUUCUGAAACAUAAUGUUCUUUUACAGUAAAGUUUGUGAGUUGUGUAGAGAACAAAGUGAGUGGUGCAGCCUGCUUCCUCCCCUUUUCCACCCUCCUGCAUGAGUCACUGCCUGAGACAUGAGGCAGAGUUGCUAUCCCACAAGUCCAGCCAGGCCAAGUGUUGGUAAUCGGAGCUGGGCAAAACCACAUAGGUUUUACAGAGGAUGGAGAUGAGAAUUGUUUACUGAUAAUUUUAAAUGGCAAGUCACAACUUCACCCACCUGAUUUUAUCUACCUGUCCUAUCUAUUUCUUCCCACAGUGAGCUGCAACCUGCUUUUGUAGUGUUUGAUGGCCCAUACCUUAAUCCCAAUACAGUCAUCCCUUGUUAUCCAUGGGGUUAGGUGAUAGACACAUCCGUGGAUAAGGAAAUCCAUGGAAAAAUAGUGCCCCCUUAAGAAUAUCCUUGAGCCUCCAAAACCUUAUUUAAGUAACAUAAGACAUGCCUUCCUGUAAUUUGUUUUCUAUGUUAACCUUCUCCUUCAGUCACCCCCUUCCUUGUGCACUUUGGAAUAUCUCUAGCCAGUUUCUUUGCAGGUCUCUUAGGAGCCAUGGUGAAGAAAAUCUUAUGUUCAUACAAUAUAGUUGUGAAGAUGUGGUACGGGGCAGCGGGGAUACGAGUGAGUUUACUGUGAGACUAAGGAUAAUGACAUGCAGUUGCAGGCCACAGCAGUGGAGCAUGGGAACACUGUGUGGCGAGCAGGUGAGCAGCAGGUGAUUUGAAUUUGUGGUUGGCAGCAAUCCAUAUAAAAGUAAAACUGUGGAAACUGAAACUGUGGUUAACAAGGGAUGACUGUACUAUUGUUUGUGUUCCUUCCUUGAUAUCAACCCAUAUCAACUAUGUGUUGUUAUCAGUUAUUAUGCUGCUGUUAACACAACAUUGUAAUGUGUCUCGAAGAUAAAAUGCUACAUCAUC
Molecule: long non-coding RNA, 1271 nt
Organism: Scylla paramamosain (green mud crab)
Lineage: Eukaryota; Metazoa; Arthropoda; Malacostraca; Decapoda; Portunidae
Exons: 2
Source: RefSeq, a predicted model, not a curated record